Molecule: ribosomal RNA, 253 nt
Filed under: uncultured bacterium
Lineage: Bacteria
Description: partial 16S ribosomal RNA
Rfam family: Bacterial small subunit ribosomal RNA
Source: RNAcentral
UACGUAGGGGGCAAGCGUUGUCCGGAUUUAUUGGGCGUAAAGAGCGUGUAGGCGGCCUGACAGGUCUGCUGUGAAAACUCGAGGCUCAACCUCGAGAUGUCGGCGGAAACCGUCUGGCUAGAGUCCGGAAGAGGAGAGUGGAAUUCCUGGUGUAGCGGUGAAAUGCGCAGAUAUCAGGAAGAACACCUAUGGCGAAGGCAGCUCUCUGGGACGGUACUGACGCUGAUGCGCGAAAGCGUGGGGAGCAAACGGG